This is a non-coding RNA of Neopsephotus bourkii (Bourke's parrot), 953 nucleotides long. NCBI's taxonomy places the organism in Eukaryota, Metazoa, Chordata, Aves, Psittaciformes, Psittacidae. The record is from the annotation of a RefSeq genome assembly.
AAUUUGAGACCCUUCAAAUUUUCAAGCUCCAUUUUCCUGUUUUUUUCUCCCUUUUUACUGGUAGGGGACCUGAGAAAAAGCAUCUGAUCCCAGGCAUUGUUUAGCAGCUUCAAAUAGUGCAAAAGCAGUGGUAAAAUUACUUCAGAUUACAAAAUCACUUUGUAAACCAGUUACAGUAAUGGUGUCUGUGUGCAUAAGAGGGAGGAGGUGAGUCUGUGCCACUUGUCCACAAGCACUCAUCAGGCUGUUAAAAUUCAGCAGGGUUCAGUCUAGAGGCUUUACUUCCACAUCACCCGCCCACUGCCAGUGCUGCCUCUCCGGAUGAUGCCCAGGUGAGUCAUUUCCUGUCCUCGGUGCAGCCCUCUGUCCCUGCUGGGAGAGCUGUCAGCUUCCUCUUCCUCUGGGAGGCAGACACUGGUGAGAGCCCUCAGGAUGCUGCUGCUCCCACUCCUGGCCCUGGCUGCAGCCUGCUCUCACGGGCAAGCACAAGUGUUUCUGAGGCAGAGGCGAGCAUCCAUUACCAGCGAGCCAACCAAAACUGCACAGAUUGAGUGUGUAGUCGAGGGCAUGUCAGAGGCUGCCUUCCAGACUCUCUAUGUACACUGGUACCGGCAUCUACCCUCCAGACCUCCCGAAUGGAUUCUGCUUAUCCAAACAGGUCAAGCUCAGUAUGAUGACGAUUCCUAUAAGAACAAGUACUCCUCUUCGAAAAAAGGCCCGAACAUCUGCACUUUCACCAUCAAUGACAUCAACCCCAGCGAUGAAGGCACCUACUACUGUGCCUACUGGCAGAACCACAGAACUAGCAAACCUCAGGUAGCCUGUACAGAAACCUGUACCACGAGUGGCAGGCUUUCUGUCAAGUGCACAGCCACACCUGCACCUUCCUGCCUCUAAAGCAUCCCAACAGGUUUAUGCAGAGGGUGUAAGUAGAAAUAAAGGACAAAGAAAAG